Molecule: ribosomal RNA, 247 nt
Filed under: uncultured bacterium
Lineage: Bacteria
Description: partial 16S ribosomal RNA
Rfam family: Bacterial small subunit ribosomal RNA
Source: RNAcentral
AUACGUAGGUGGCAAGCGUUGUCCGGAUUUACUGGGUGUAAAGGGCGUGUAGGCGGGGAUGCAAGUCAGAUGUGAAAUUCCGGGGCUCAACCCCGGCGCUGCAUCUGAAACUGUAUCUCUUGAGUGCUGGAGAGGAAAGCGGAAUUCCUAGUGUAGCGGUGAAAUGCGUAGAUAUUAGGAGGAACACCAGUGGCGAAGGCGGCUUUCUGGACAGUAACUGACGCUGAGGCGCGAAAGCGUGGGGAGC